CGCCUGCCAUGUGGUGAUUUGUUCUCCGGAUUGCGGGCCACAGGAAAGAUACCGCUAAAGAGGUCAGGACGAGACGCAG
Molecule: non-coding RNA, 79 nt
Filed under: Celeribacter halophilus
Lineage: Bacteria; Pseudomonadati; Pseudomonadota; Alphaproteobacteria; Rhodobacterales; Roseobacteraceae
Source: RNAcentral